This 1245-nucleotide ribosomal RNA is filed under the name 'Olea europaea' phytoplasma. RNAcentral describes it as "bacterial SSU rRNA". It matches the Rfam family "Bacterial small subunit ribosomal RNA", at positions 157 to 1399 of the family's 1533-position model. The record is from RNAcentral. Lineage: Bacteria; Bacillati; Mycoplasmatota; Mollicutes; Acholeplasmatales; Acholeplasmataceae.
CGACUGCUAAGACUGGAUAGGAAAUAAAAAGGCAUCUUUUUAUUUUUAAAAGACCUUUUUCGAAAGGUAUGCUUAAAGAUGAGCUUGCGCCACAUUAGUUUCUUGGUGGGGUAAUGGCCUACCAAGACGAUGAUGUGUAGCUGGACUGAGAGGUCGAACAGCCACAUUGGGACUGAGACACGGCCCAAACUCCUACGGGAGGCAGCAGUAGGGAAUUUUCGGCAAUGGAGGAAACUCUGACCGAGCAACGCCGCGUGAACGAUGAAGUAUUUCGGUAUGUAAAGUUCUUUUAUUGAAGAAGAAAAAAUAGUGGAAAAACUAUCUUGACGUUAUUCAAUGAAUAAGCCCCGGCUAACUAUGUGCCAGCAGCCGCGGUAAGACAUAGGGGGCGAGCGUUAUCCGGAAUUAUUGGGCGUAAAGGGUGCGUAGGCGGUUAGGAAAGUCUAUAAUUUAAUUUCAGUGCUUAACGCUGUCUUGUUAUAGAAACUACCUUGACUAGAGUUAGAUAGAGGCAAGCGGAAUUCCAUGUGUAGCGGUAAAAUGUGUAAAUAUAUGGAGGAACACCAGAAGCGUAGGCGGCUUGCUGGGUCUUGACUGACGCUGAGGCACGAAAGCGUGGGUAGCAAACAGGAUGGAUACACUGGUAGUCCACGCCGUAAACGAUGAGUACUAAGUGUCGGGAUAAAACUCGGUACUGAAGUUAACACAUUAAGUACUCCGCCUGAGUAGUACGUACGCAAGUUUGAAACUUAAAGGAAUUGACGGGACUCCGCACAAGCGGGGGAUCAUGUUGUUUAAUUCGAAGAUACACGAAAAAUCUUACCAGGUCUUGACAUGCUCUGCAAAGCUAUAGAAAUAUAGUGGAGGUUAUCAGGGACACAGGUGGUGCAUGGUUGUCGUCAGUUCGUGUCGUGAGAUGUUAGGUUAAGUCCUAAAACGAGCGCAACCCUCGUCGUUAGUUACCAGCACGUAAUGGUGGGCACUUUAACGAGACUGCCAAUUAAACAUUGGAGGAAGGUGAGGAUUACGUCAAAUCAUCAUGCCCCUGAUGAUCUAGGCUACAAACGUGAUACAAUGGCUGUCACAAAGGGUAGCUGAAGCGCGAGUUUUUAGCCAAUCUCAAAAAAGCAGUCUCAGUUCGGAUUGAAGUCUGUAACUCGACUUCAUGAAGUUGGAAUCGCUAGUAAUCGCGAAUCAGCAUGUCGCGGUGAAUACGUUCUCGGGGUUUGUACACACCGCCCGUCA